GACGAACGCUGGCGGCGUGCUUAACACAUGUAAGUCGAACGGAAAGGCCCUGCUUUUGUGGGGUGCUCGAGUGGCGAACGGGUGAGUAACACGUGAGUAACCUGCCCUUGACUUUGGGAUAACUUCAGGAAACUGGGGCUAAUACCGGAUAGGAGCUCCUGCUGCAUGGUGGGGGUUGGAAAGUUUCGGCGGUUGGGGAUGGACUCGCGGCUUAUCAGCUUGUUGGUGGGGUAGUGGCUUACCAAGGCUUUGACGGGUAGCCGGCCUGAGAGGGUGACCGGCCACAUUGGGACUGAGAUACGGCCCAGACUCCUACGGGAGGCAGCAGUGGGGAAUAUUGCACAAUGGGCGGAAGCCUGAUGCAGCAACGCCGCGUGCUGGAUGACGGCCUUCGGGUUGUAAACCGCUUUCGCCUGUGACGAAGCGUGAGUGACGGUAAUGGGUAAAGAAGCACCGGCUAACUACGUG
RNAcentral lists this ribosomal RNA (468 nucleotides) under uncultured bacterium. RNAcentral's name for it is "partial 16S ribosomal RNA". It matches the Rfam family "Bacterial small subunit ribosomal RNA", at positions 28 to 507 of the family's 1533-position model. The record is from RNAcentral.